This 1224-nucleotide long non-coding RNA is filed under the name Capsicum annuum. RNAcentral describes it as "long non-coding RNA (CANN_LNC020970)". Lineage: Eukaryota; Viridiplantae; Streptophyta; Magnoliopsida; Solanales; Solanaceae. The record is from RNAcentral.
GCCGGACCAAAUUUGGAUUCUCCAGUUCUGUAUCCUUCUCCUGAACGGGGUUAGAAGUUUCAACCCCCACCUCUAGCGGAAUUGAAAUUGAGGUACUGCUGCUGCUUUCAACCACCUCUUCAGACGAGGAGGAUGACAAAAUCACUUGACGACUUUGCCUAGUGUUGCAGGCCGGUGCAUUAGAACCUUGUGAUGGGCCAUGCCCAGCUUAUUGGCCUCUGCCCCUGCCUCUGGAUUAUGGUAAUUUGGGAGCGAUGGCACCUAAAAAUGUAGCAUUUAUCAGUGUACAGACUUAAACAAGAAGAAGGAAAUUAUUCUGAGCAGCGACGGUUAAAGUCGACAAUCCAUCAACCCCUACCAUCAGGUUAUUCCAUUAACUCUAAUUCUGAGAAAUUUACGACGGUCUAAGGCGACAGUCUGUCGGGUAUACGAUGGUCUAUCGACCCCUACCGUCAGGGUUAUUCCAGUGAGUCAGUUUCUGAGACAAGUGUGACGGUGUCAGGCGAUGGUUCGUCAGGUAUCCGAUGGUUCGUCGCGAGUACCGUCGCCUACAAAUUUUAAAUUGAAGUCUCACUUUGGUAUUUUGUCGAACACCUUGUGCACACUUACUAUAUACAUGAUUUUUAUGGCAUUUUUAUCAACAACACAUCACCACAAUUUGCUAUUUUUGGUCUAUGGGUUACUUAGACUUCCCCCAGGACAGUUUAGGCUAGGUUUUGACUAAAAAUCAUGAACAUACAUUACCAAGAAAAAUAGAGAAGAAACAACAUUUGUUCACAUAAUUGUAUUCGCCUAUUUGAUUUGAUCAUCAUGUUGAAGAAAUAUAGAAAGAAAAAGGAAAUACAUACCUUGUUGUUUCAGUAUUUGUUCACUACUAGGACCUUGUACAGUGCACUUCGAACAACAGAUGAAUAUUUGUUUUAUAGAAGAGAACUUUAGUUGCCUUGUGAUGAAAAGAGAAAGAGAAGAAAAGUCCUUUAAAUAGAAGGAAUAGGGAAGAUGGGGAGUUAUAGGGGCGAAUGAAAAGGCACAGGGGCAUUGAAUAGGUGGGAGUUAUUUAACCGCUUUAAAUUAUCAAUUUAAAACCAUUUGGAUCGGAUAAGAAUAAAAAAUCGGCUAUUUAAAUUCAUCCACCUGACCCGUUAACCUAGGGUUAAGUGCGAUGGUCCGUCGCGUCCUCAACGGUCCAUCGGUUAUUCCAUCGCGACUAACCAGUGAACUCAC